UGAUACGGUGGCAGCUUGAUGAUCUAAUAGCGUUAGGGUUUUGUUUGGGGAAGAUAGGUGAAGAAGAAGAAGAAGAGGGAAAAAAUAAAAUAAAGAAGAUGGGGGUUCUAAACGUGGGGUUUUUUAUUUGUGUUUUUUUUUCUUUGUUUUUCAUCAUUUUUCUUUUUUGGGCUUAGGUUGUUUGAGCUUCUUUUUUUUUCUUUCUUUGGUCUACUUGGGUUCUUGAAAUUUUGGGUUUGGGUAUGGGUUUAUUUAUUUGGAGAAAAAUGGCAAUACUAAACGUGAC
RNAcentral lists this long non-coding RNA (286 nucleotides) under Gossypium barbadense (sea-island cotton). RNAcentral's name for it is "long non-coding RNA (GBAR_LNC016434)". The record is from RNAcentral. Lineage: Eukaryota; Viridiplantae; Streptophyta; Magnoliopsida; Malvales; Malvaceae.